GGGCGUAAGAGCUCCGUAGGCGGCUUGUUUACGUCCUGCUGUGAAAUUCCCAGGGCUUCAACCCUGGGCGUGCAGUGGAUACGGGCUAGCUAGAGGCAGGCAGGGGAGAACGGAAUUCCCGGUGUAGCGGUGAAAUGCGCAGAUAUCGGGAGGAACACCAGUGGCGAAGGCGGUUCUCUGGGCCUGUUCUGACGCUGAGGAGCGAAAGCGUGGGGAGCGAACAGGAUUAGAUACCCUGGUAGUCCACGCCGUAAACGUUGGGCGCUAGGUGUGGGGUCCUUCCACGGAUUCUGCGCCGCAGCUAACGCAUUAAGCGCCCCGCCUGGGGAGUACGGCCGCAAGGCUAAAACUCAAAGGAAUUGACGGGGGCCCGCACAAGCAGCGGAGCAUGUUUGCUUAAUUCGACGCAACGCGAAGAAACCUUACCAAGGUUUGACAUGGCCGGAAAACUCAUGGAGACAUGGGGUCCCUUCGGGGCCGGUCACAGGUGGUGCAUGGCUGUCGUCAGCUCCGUGUCGUGAGAUGUUGGGUUAAGUCCCCGCAACGAGCGCAACCCCUCGUCCAAUGUUGCCAGCACGUUAUGGUGGGGACUCAUUGGAGACUGCCCGGGGUCAACUCGGAGGAAGGUGGGGAUGACGUCAAGUCAUCAUGCCCCUUUAUGUCUUGGGCUGCAAACAUGCUACAAUGGCCGGUACAAAGCGCUGCGACACCCGCGAGGUGAAGCGAAUCGCAUAAAGCCGGUCUCAGUUCGGAUCGGGGUCUGCAACUCGGCUCUCGUGAAAGCUGGAGUUGCUAGUAAUCGCGAUCAGCAACGCCGCGGUGAAUACGUUCCUCGGCCUUGUACUCACCCGCCCGUC
Molecule: ribosomal RNA, 857 nt
Filed under: uncultured bacterium
Lineage: Bacteria
Description: bacterial SSU rRNA
Rfam family: Bacterial small subunit ribosomal RNA
Source: RNAcentral